UACGUAGGGUGCGAGCGUUGUCCGGAAUUAUUGGGCGUAAAGAGCUUGUAGGCGGUUUGGCGCGUCUGCUGUGAAAUUUCGGGGCUCAACCCCGAACUUGCAGUGGGUACGGGCAGACUAGAGUGUGGUAGGGGAGACUGGAAUUCCUGGUGUAGCGGUGAAAUGCGCAGAUAUCAGGAGGAACACCGAUGGCGAAGGCAGGUCUCUGGGCCACUACUGACGCUGAGAAGCGAAAGCAUGGGGAGCGAACAGG
This 253-nucleotide ribosomal RNA is filed under the name uncultured bacterium. RNAcentral describes it as "partial 16S ribosomal RNA". It matches the Rfam family "Bacterial small subunit ribosomal RNA", at positions 524 to 776 of the family's 1533-position model. The record is from RNAcentral.